This 253-nucleotide ribosomal RNA is filed under the name uncultured bacterium. RNAcentral's name for it is "partial 16S ribosomal RNA". It matches the Rfam family "Bacterial small subunit ribosomal RNA", at positions 524 to 776 of the family's 1533-position model. The record is from RNAcentral.
UACAGAGGGGGCAAGCGUUGUUCGGAAUUACUGGGCGUAAAGGGCGCGUAGGCGGCCUUCUAAGUCAGACGUGAAAUCCCCGGGCUCAACCCGGGAACUGCGUCUGAUACUGGAAGGCUUGAAUCCGGGAGAGGGAUGUGGAAUUCCAGGUGUAGCGGUGAAAUGCGUAGAUAUUGGGAAGAACACCGGUGGCGAAGGCGGCUAUCUGGCCCGUAAUUGACGCUGAGGCGCGAAAGCGUGGGGAGCAAACAGG